AGUGGAAUUACUGGGUCAUAUACUGGAACUAUGUUAAACUUUGUAAAGAAACUGACAAACUAUUUUCUAAAGUGACUAUAACAUUUUACAUUCCCUCCAGCAAU
This 104-nucleotide microRNA precursor is filed under the name Marmota monax (woodchuck). Lineage: Eukaryota; Metazoa; Chordata; Mammalia; Rodentia; Sciuridae. The record is from RNAcentral.